Long non-coding RNA from Bufo bufo (common toad), 2207 nucleotides. RefSeq lists it as uncharacterized. The record is from RefSeq and is a predicted model, not a curated record. Lineage: Eukaryota; Metazoa; Chordata; Amphibia; Anura; Bufonidae. The transcript has 3 exons.
CCAGUGUCUGGUCUCAGCUGCUGCAGAACAUCUUCAGGGGGCACUCACAGGUAAGGAGCGGCUCUAGGCCUGAGGCAGGCUGUGUCCAGGAUCGGUAGACUCGGCCAGUGUCUGGUCUCAGCUGCUGCAGAACAUCUUCAGGGGGCACUCACAGGUAAGGAGCGGCUCUAGGCCUGAGGCAGGCUGUGUCCAGGAUCGGUAGACUCGGCCAGUGUCUGGUCUCAGCUGCUGCAGAACAUCUUCAGGGGGCACUCACAGGUAAGGAGCGGCUCUAGGCCUGAGGCAGGCUGUGUCCAGGAUCGGUAGACUCGGCCAGUGUCUGGUCUCAGCUGCUGCAGAACAUCUUCAGGGGGCACUCACAGGUAAGGAGCGGCUCUAGGGUGUCCAGGAUUGGUAGACUCUGCCAGUGUCUGGUCUCAGCACUCACAGGUAAGGAGCGGCUCUAGGCCUGAGGCAGGCUGUGUCCAGGAUCGGUAGACUCGGCCAGUGUCUGGUCUCAGCUGCUGCAGAACAUCUUCAGGGGGCACUCACAGGUAAGGAGCGGCUCUAGGGUGUCCAGGAUUGGUAGACUCUGCCAGUGUCUGGUCUCAGCACUCACAGGUAAGGAGCGGCUCUAGGCCUGAGGCAGGCUGUGUCCAGGAUCGGUAGACUCGGCCAGUGUCUGGUCUCAGCUGCUGCAGAACAUCUUCAGGGGGCACUCGCAGGUAAGGAGCGGCUCUAGGCCUGAGGCAGGCUGUGUCCAGGAUCGGUAGACUCGGCCAGUGUCUGGUCUCAGCUGCUGCAGAACAUCUUCAGGGGGCACUCACAGGUAAGGAGCGGCUGUAGGCCUGAGGCAGGCUGUAUCCAGGAUCGGUAGACUCGGCCAGUGUCUGGUCUCAGCUGCUGCAGAACAUCUUCAGGGGGCACUCACAGGUAAGGAGCGGCUCUAGGGUGUCCAGGAUUGGUAGACUCUGCCAGUGUCUGGUCUCAGCACUCACAGGUAAGGAGCGGCUGUAGGCCUGAGGCAGGCUGUAUCCAGGAUCGGUAGACUCGGCCAGUGUCUGGUCUCAGCUGCUGCAGAACAUCUUCAGGGGGCACUCACAGGUAAGGAGCGGCUGUAGGCCUGAGGCAGGCUGUAUCCAGGAUCGGUAGACUCGGCCAGUGUCUGGUCUCAGCUGCUGCAGAACAUCUUCAGGGGGCACUCACAGGUAAGGAGCGGCUCUAGGGUGUCCAGGAUCGGUAGACUCUGCCAGUGUCUGGUCUCAGCACUCACAGGUAAGGAGCGGCUCUAGGCCUGAGGCAGGCUGUGUCCAGGAUCGGUAGACUCGGCCAGUGUCUGGUCUCAGCUGCUGCAGAACAUCUUCAGGGGGCACUCACAGGUAAGGAGCGGCUCUAGGGUGUCCAGGAUUGGUAGACUCUGCCAGUGUCUGGUCUCAGCACUCACAGGUAAGGAGCGGCUCUAGGCCUGAGGCAGGCUGUGUCCAGGAUCGGUAGACUCGGCCAGUGUCUGGUCUCAGCUGCUGCAGAACAUCUUCAGGGGGCACUCGCAGGUAAGGAGCGGCUCUAGGCCUGAGGCAGGCUGUGUCCAGGAUCGGUAGACUCGGCCAGUGUCUGGUCUCAGCUGCUGCAGAACAUCUUCAGGGGGCACUCACAGGUAAGGAGCGGCUGUAGGCCUGAGGCAGGCUGUAUCCAGGAUCGGUAGACUCGGCCAGUGUCUGGUCUCAGCUGCUGCAGAACAUCUUCAGGGGGCACUCACAGGUAAGGAGCGGCUCUAGGGUGUCCAGGAUUGGUAGACUCUGCCAGUGUCUGGUCUCAGCACUCACAGGUAAGGAGCGGCUGUAGGCCUGAGGCAGGCUGUAUCCAGGAUCGGUAGACUCGGCCAGUGUCUGGUCUCAGCUGCUGCAGAACAUCUUCAGGGGGCACUCACAGGUAAGGAGCGGCUGUAGGCCUGAGGCAGGCUGUAUCCAGGAUCGGUAGACUCGGCCAGUGUCUGGUCUCAGCUGCUGCAGAACAUCUUCAGGGGGCACUCACAGGUAAGGAGCGGCUCUAGGCCUGAGGCAGGCUGUGUCCAGGAUCGGUAGACUCGGCCAGUGUCUGGUCUCAGCUGCUGCAGAACAUCUUCAGGGGGCACUCACAGGUAAGGAGCGGCUCUAGGCCUGAGGCAGGCUGUGUCCAGGAUCGGUAGACUCGGGCAGCCCCUGUGUCCGCUCUCAGCCUCUGCACUUGCU